GCAGUCGAGCGGACAGAUGGGAGCUUGCUCCCUGAUGUUAGCGGCGGACGGGUGAGUAACACGUGGGUAACCUGCCUGUAAGACUGGGAUAACUCCGGGAAACCGGGGCUAAUACCGGAUGGUUGUUUGAACCGCAUGGUUCAGACAUAAAAGGUGGCUUCGGCUACCACUUACAGAUGGACCCGCGGCGCAUUAGCUAGUUGGUGAGGUAACGGCUCACCAAGGCGACGAUGCGUAGCCGACCUGAGAGGGUGAUCGGCCACACUGGGACUGAGACACGGCCCAGACUCCUACGGGAGGCAGCAGUAGGGAAUCUUCCGCAAUGGACGAAAGUCUGACGGAGCAACGCCGCGUGAGUGAUGAAGGUUUUCGGAUCGUAAAGCUCUGUUGUUAGGGAAGAACAAGUGCCGUUCAAAUAGGGCGGCACCUUGACGGUACCUAACCAGAAAGCCACGGCUAACUACGUGCCAGCAGCCGCGGUAAUACGUAGGUGGCAAGCGUUGUCCGGAAUUAUUGGGCGUAAAGGGCUCGCAGGCGGUUUCUUAAGUCUGAUGUGAAAGCCCCCGGCUCAACCGGGGAGGGUCAUUGGAAACUGGGGAACUUGAGUGCAGAAGAGGAGAGUGGAAUUCCACGUGUAGCGGUGAAAUGCGUAGAGAUGUGGAGGAACACCAGUGGCGAAGGCGACUCUCUGGUCUGUAACUGACGCUGAGGAGCGAAAGCGUGGGGAGCGAACAGGAUUAGAUACCCUGGUAGUCCACGCCGUAAACGAUGAGUGCUAAGUGUUAGGGGGUUUCCGCCCCUUAGUGCUGCAGCUAACGCAUUAAGCACUCCGCCUGGGGAGUACGGUCGCAAGACUGAAACUCAAAG
RNAcentral lists this ribosomal RNA (867 nucleotides) under Bacillus velezensis. RNAcentral's name for it is "bacterial SSU rRNA". It matches the Rfam family "Bacterial small subunit ribosomal RNA", at positions 57 to 906 of the family's 1533-position model. The record is from RNAcentral. Lineage: Bacteria; Bacillati; Bacillota; Bacilli; Caryophanales; Bacillaceae.